GAUAGGUGGAAGUUAACGUAUAGACAUGGAGAACCCAUCGGUGGUUACCAGGGAAAGGGGGGGGGUGGGGGGAGGGCACAAAGGGUGAAGUGGUGUACCCACAACAUGACUAACAAUAAUGUACAACUGAAAUCUCACAAGGUUGUAAUCUAUCAUAAUCUUAAUAAAAUAAAUAAAUAAAUAAAUAAAAAAUAAACCUCUUAAAAUGAAAGGCACCUCUUUGCCCAGAGAUUAAAACAAUAUAAAGUUGCUGAAGAUAAAACAGAUUAAGAGCUACAAGUUUUGGAGUCAGAACUACGUGUACAUAUUUCAUUGGCAAAAACGGGCUAUUAUUUGGUACAUUUGAUGUCUGUCUCCAUCAUUACGCUCUCAGUGAAUUAAGAGGCCUCACUUCGUGGAGCUGGUUCUCAGCAGCUGCCACUAACGUCCAGGUGGGCUGGGCACCAGCCCGAGAACAUUCCCCUUUCACAGCCGCCUCUCCGCAGCCUCAGGGCUCAGCAGGGAGACAAACACAGGUGCUGGGCCAGGAGGCCACCCGGCUAUGUCUUCACCCACUGAUGGGGUCCUGCACCAGGCUUGUGCAGUGCAGAUGGCAGUGCACGGAGUGUCCACCGUUCCUCAUCCUCACCAGCACUUGCUGCCAUCGCACUUGGGCAUUUUUGUCAAUGUAAUGAGUAUAAAAUGACUUCUCCUCGUGGUUGCAGUUUGCAUUUCCUUGGUUAUCUGAGAGGGUGAGCAACUUAUGUGUGUACUGACUGCCAGGUGACUUUUUUUUUUAAGAAACGGGGUACAGAGUUGGGCUCUUGUUCUGUUCUUGCCCCUAAAUGACCACGUGGGCUUGAGGAGGGGUUGCUCCUCUCUCUGGGCCCCAGAUGUUUUCUGUGUCAGUGAAGGGGCUGGCCAUCUCCCACUGA
Molecule: long non-coding RNA, 914 nt
Filed under: Equus caballus (horse)
Lineage: Eukaryota; Metazoa; Chordata; Mammalia; Perissodactyla; Equidae
Description: lncRNA (ENSECAG00000059872.1)
Source: RNAcentral